This 304-nucleotide ribosomal RNA is filed under the name uncultured bacterium. RNAcentral's name for it is "partial 16S ribosomal RNA". It matches the Rfam family "Bacterial small subunit ribosomal RNA", at positions 506 to 807 of the family's 1533-position model. The record is from RNAcentral.
CAGCAGCCGCCGCGUUAAUACGAAGGGGGCUAGCGUUGCUCGGAAUUACUGGGCGUAAAGGGAGCGUAGGCGGAUCGUUAAGUUGGGGGUGAAAGCCCGGGGCUCAACCUCGGAACUGCCUUCAAUACUGGCGAUCUUGAGUAUGAGAGAGGUGUGUGGAACUCCGAGUGUAGAGGUGAAAUUCGUAGAUAUUCGGAAGAACACCAGUGGCGAAGGCGACACACUGGCUCAUUACUGACGCUGAGGCUCGAAAGCGUGGGGAGCAAACAGGAUUAGAGACCCCUGUAGUCCCUGUCUCUUAUAC